RNAcentral lists this ribosomal RNA (466 nucleotides) under uncultured bacterium. Its description in RNAcentral is "partial 16S ribosomal RNA". It matches the Rfam family "Bacterial small subunit ribosomal RNA", at positions 28 to 507 of the family's 1533-position model. The record is from RNAcentral.
GACGAACGCUGGCGGUGUGCUUAACACAUGCAAGUCGAACGGUAAGGCCCUUUCGGGGGUACACGAGUGGCGAACGGGUGAGUAACACGUGAGUAACCUGCCCUCAUCUCUGGGAUAACAGUCGGAAACGGUUGCUAAUACUGGAUAUGAGCUUGCAAGGCAUCUUGUGGGUUGGAAAGAUUUUUUUGGUUGGGGAUGGACUCGCGGCCUAUCAGCUUGUUGGUGAGGUAGUGGCUCACCAAGGCUUCGACGGGUAGCCGGCCUGAGAGGGCGACCGGCCACAUUGGGACUGAGAUACGGCCCAAACUCCUACGGGAGGCAGCAGUGGGGAAUAUUGCACAAUGGACGGAAGUCUGAUGCAGCAACGCCGCGUGCGGGAUGACAGCCUUCGGGUUGUAAACCGCUUUCAAUUGUGACGAAGCUUUUUGUGACGGUAGCAGUAGAAGAAGCACCGGCUAACUACGUG